GUGCCAGCAGCCGCGGUAAGACGAACCGAGCGAACGUUAUUCGGAAUCACUGGGCUUAAAGGGUGCGUAGGCGGGCGAGUAAGUCAGGGGUGAAAUCCCACGGCCCAACCGUGGAAGUGCCUCUGAUACUGCGAGUCUAGAGGGAAAUAGGGGCGUGCGGAACUUCCGGUGGAGCGGUGAAAUGCGUAGAUAUCGGAAGGAACACCGGUGGCGAAAGCGGCGCGCUGGAUUUCUACUGACGCUGAGGCACGAAAGCCAGGGGAGCAAACGGGAUUAGAUACCCCAGUAGUCC
Molecule: ribosomal RNA, 292 nt
Filed under: uncultured bacterium
Lineage: Bacteria
Description: partial 16S ribosomal RNA
Rfam family: Bacterial small subunit ribosomal RNA
Source: RNAcentral